AACACCUCAAAACAUUUGGUCUUUUCCAAGCGUUUUGGACUUGAGCAAACCCAACACCUUACUUAUCUCACGAUUCGGCGGCGGGUUGCUUGAAAUGCAGGUGCAGCUGGACAUUCUCCUGAGCUAAAAGCAUAUCUAUUUAGUCCCGUCAAACGGAUUAUUACUUUUUGCUGCAGCUAACAUAAAGGGAGAAUUGACCGUAUUGGCUGACUGAUGCAGGAUUUCACAGAGUCGGAAACGAUUCUGUCAA
This 250-nucleotide unclassified non-coding RNA is filed under the name uncultured Mortierella. Its description in RNAcentral is "sequence contains ITS2". Lineage: Eukaryota; Fungi; Mortierellomycota; Mortierellomycetes; Mortierellales; Mortierellaceae. The record is from RNAcentral.